This 73-nucleotide transfer RNA is filed under the name Ipomoea nil (Japanese morning glory). It matches the Rfam family "tRNA". From Rfam's summary of the family: Transfer RNA (tRNA) molecules are approximately 80 nucleotides in length. Their secondary structure includes four short double-helical elements and three loops (D, anti-codon, and T loops). Lineage: Eukaryota; Viridiplantae; Streptophyta; Magnoliopsida; Solanales; Convolvulaceae. The record is from Rfam by way of RNAcentral.
GGCCUAUUAGCUCAGUUGGUUAGAGCGUCGUGCUAAUAACGCGAAGGUCACAGGUUCGAGACUGUAUGGGCCA